This 20-nucleotide small RNA is filed under the name Arabidopsis thaliana (thale cress). Its description in RNAcentral is "ATSL132370". Lineage: Eukaryota; Viridiplantae; Streptophyta; Magnoliopsida; Brassicales; Brassicaceae. The record is from RNAcentral.
AAAAAAAAAGCAAAAAAAAA